UACGAAGGGGGCUAGCGUUGUUCGGAAUUACUGGGCGUAAAGGGCGCGUAGGCGGCUCGACGAGUUGGGCGUGAAAGGCCUGGGCUUAACCCGGGAACUGCGUUCGAUACUGUCGAGCUAGAGUGUGGGAGAGGAUGGCGGAAUUCCCAGUGUAGAGGUGAAAUUCGUAGAUAUUGGGAAGAACACCAGUGGCGAAGGCGGCCAUCUGGACCACAACUGACGCUGAGGCGCGAAAGCGUGGGGAGCAAACAGG
RNAcentral lists this ribosomal RNA (253 nucleotides) under uncultured bacterium. Its description in RNAcentral is "partial 16S ribosomal RNA". It matches the Rfam family "Bacterial small subunit ribosomal RNA", at positions 524 to 776 of the family's 1533-position model. The record is from RNAcentral.